Long non-coding RNA from Gallus gallus (chicken), 734 nucleotides. The record is from Ensembl. NCBI's taxonomy places the organism in Eukaryota, Metazoa, Chordata, Aves, Galliformes, Phasianidae.
CUACAACUUGCCACUAUGCUCCUAACUCCCCAAAGUGGAGUCACAUGGAUCUGGUUGAACAACCUUAGCUUGCAACACACUGAAGGCAAAUGGAUCAGACUGAGGAUGGUAUGCUGCUGGAAGAUACAGAUCAGAAGCAGUCAUCUUCUGUGGGCUGGAAAGUGAGAACUGUAACAGUAUAAAAACCAUUUGUAGGCUUUCUGUGCUCAUCUCCUUUAUCCUCAGGGUUGUUUUGAUGUGCUUUUUCCCCCCUUGUUGAUGUUUUCUUGCCUAGGUACCUCUACAGUACCAAAUCAUUAUUUUUAUAUUGUUAUACCAAAAUGCUCUUUCCUAUAUGCAGUGGACCUGCCAGAAUGAGAAGAUAUGCCAGGCUUUAAUGGAAUGAUGCUUUGCAAGAAAAUACAGAGAAUUUUUUUUUAAGCAUCACAAGUACAUUUGUGCUGAAUAGUUGUAGCAAAAAGAAAAAAAAAAUACUACCAGCAUCUACAGCAGUUGAACAUUUCAUGAUCAAUAUUUAGCAUAUGAAUAAUGUUUUAAUUACUGUCAUUUGUUCCUAUUCUUGAAAAGAAAGAGGUAUUUGUUUAUGCUUUAAAUCAAAAAGAUGAAUUUGUUUGUUUCUCAUUUGUCCUGUGUGCAUCAGUGUGUUUGAUGAGAAUACUGGUAAGAUCCAGGUGUCUUAAUCUGCUUUGUCCUUUACAUUACAUGCUCUUUAAUAAAUGUUUAUCUUAAUAGAA